RNAcentral lists this ribosomal RNA (229 nucleotides) under uncultured bacterium. RNAcentral describes it as "partial 16S ribosomal RNA". It matches the Rfam family "Bacterial small subunit ribosomal RNA", at positions 568 to 796 of the family's 1533-position model. The record is from RNAcentral.
UGCGUAGGCGGAAAAUUAAGUCAGUGGUGAAAUCCUGCAGCUCAACUGUAGAACUGUCAUUGAUACUGAUUUUCUUGAAUAUAGUUGAGGUAGGCGGAAUGUGUAAUGUAGCGGUGAAAUGCUUAGAUAUUACACAGAACACCGAUUGCGAAGGCAGCUUACUAAGCUAUUAUUGACGCUGAGGCACGAAAGCGUGGGGAGCGAACAGGAUUAGAUACCCUGGUAGUCC